UGUCAAUUGAUUGUUUGGGCGAAUAUUUA
This 29-nucleotide non-coding RNA is filed under the name Rattus norvegicus (Norway rat). The record is from RNAcentral. Lineage: Eukaryota; Metazoa; Chordata; Mammalia; Rodentia; Muridae.